GAUGAACGCUAGCUACAGGCUUAACACAUGCAAGUCGCGGGGCAGCAUGGGGGUUGCUUGCAACCUCUGAUGGCGACCGGCGCACGGGUGAGUAACGCGUAUCCAACCUGCCCUUCACCACGGGAUAACCCGGCGAAAGUCAGACAAAUACCGUAUGUUGUCCAUUGACGGCAUCCGAUUCGGACGAACAGCUUGGCGGUGAAAGGAUGGGGAUGCGUCCGAUUAGCUUGACGGCGGGGAAACGGCCCACCGUGGCUACGAUCGGUAGGGGUUCUGAGAGGAAGGUCCCCCACACUGGAACUGAGACACGGUCCAGACUCCUACGGGAGGCAGCAGUGAGGAAUAUUGGUCAAUGGGCGUAAGCCUGAACCAGCCAAGUAGCGUGCAGGAUGACGGCCCUAUGGGUUGUAAACUGCUUUUAUGCGGGGAUAAAGUGGCCCACGUGUGGGCUUUUGCAGGUACCGAAUGAAUAAGGACCGGCUAAUUCCGUG
RNAcentral lists this ribosomal RNA (491 nucleotides) under uncultured bacterium. Its description in RNAcentral is "partial 16S ribosomal RNA". It matches the Rfam family "Bacterial small subunit ribosomal RNA", at positions 28 to 507 of the family's 1533-position model. The record is from RNAcentral.